UAAUUCGAUCUAGUAAUAUUGCCACGUGUCCAGUUCUCUAAACGCACCUUAUCAAUUACUCGGUGGGAUCAUGGGCUUUGACUGCGUGUUAUGCGAUUGGGCCAUGCAAAACUAUCAUUUCUGCUUUCCUUUCAAGUUCAGUUCUCAUUUCGAGUUAUCAUUACCUGUUGCAAGUUUUCAGUUUUUUCGUUGUUUCUAACAAUAAUUAUCUUUGUUCUAGAUUUACCUUAUAUAAAUAAAAUAGAUAUAUUUGUUUUGAAAAACACCA
Brassica rapa (field mustard) is the source of this 268-nucleotide long non-coding RNA. RefSeq lists it as uncharacterized. The record is from RefSeq and is a predicted model, not a curated record. Lineage: Eukaryota; Viridiplantae; Streptophyta; Magnoliopsida; Brassicales; Brassicaceae.